GAUGAACGCUGGCGGCGUGCCUAAUACAUGCAAGUCGAGCGAACAGACGAGGAGCUUGCUCCUUUGACGUUAGCGGCGGACGGGUGAGUAACACGUGGGUAACCUACCUAUAAGACUGGGAUAACUUCGGGAAACCGGAGCUAAUACCGGAUAAUAUUUCGAACCGCAUGGUUCGAUAGUGAAAGAUGGCUUUGCUAUCACUUAUAGAUGGACCUGCGCCGUAUUAGCUAGUUGGUAAGGUAACGGCUUACCAAGGCAACGAUACGUAGCCGACCUGAGAGGGGGAUCGCCCACACUGGAACUGAGACACGGUCCAGACUCCUACGGGAGGCAGCAGAAGGGAAUCUUCCGCAAUGGGCGAAAGCCUGACGGAGCAACGCCGCGUGAGUGAUGAAGGUCUUCGGAUCGUAAAACUCUGUUAUUAGGGAAGAACAAACGUGUAAGUAACUGUGCACGUCUUGACGGUACCUAAUCAGAAAGCCACGGCUAACUACGUG
Molecule: ribosomal RNA, 497 nt
Filed under: uncultured bacterium
Lineage: Bacteria
Description: partial 16S ribosomal RNA
Rfam family: Bacterial small subunit ribosomal RNA
Source: RNAcentral